RNAcentral lists this ribosomal RNA (1264 nucleotides) under Salmonella enterica. RNAcentral describes it as "partial 23S ribosomal RNA". It matches the Rfam family "Bacterial large subunit ribosomal RNA", at positions 1684 to 2925 of the family's 2925-position model. RNAcentral also lists the same sequence under 1 other name. The record is from RNAcentral. Lineage: Bacteria; Pseudomonadati; Pseudomonadota; Gammaproteobacteria; Enterobacterales; Enterobacteriaceae.
AGGCGCUUGAGAGAACUCGGGUGAAGGAACUAGGCAAAAUGGUGCCGUAACUUCGGGAGAAGGCACGCUGACACGUAGGUGAAGUGAUUUACUCAUGGAGCUGAAGUCAGUCGAAGAUACCAGCUGGCUGCAACUGUUUAUUAAAAACACAGCACUGUGCAAACACGAAAGUGGACGUAUACGGUGUGACGCCUGCCCGGUGCCGGAAGGUUAAUUGAUGGGGUCAGCGCAAGCGAAGCUCCUGAUCGAAGCCCCGGUAAACGGCGGCCGUAACUAUAACGGUCCUAAGGUAGCGAAAUUCCUUGUCGGGUAAGUUCCGACCUGCACGAAUGGCGUAAUGAUGGCCAGGCUGUCUCCACCCGAGACUCAGUGAAAUUGAACUCGCUGUGAAGAUGCAGUGUACCCGCGGCAAGACGGAAAGACCCCGUGAACCUUUACUAUAGCUUGACACUGAACAUUGAGCCUUGAUGUGUAGGAUAGGUGGGAGGCUUUGAAGUGUGGACGCCAGUCUGCAUGGAGCCGACCUUGAAAUACCACCCUUUAAUGUUUGAUGUUCUAACGUGGACCCGUGAUCCGGGUUGCGGACAGUGUCUGGUGGGUAGUUUGACUGGGGCGGUCUCCUCCUAAAGAGUAACGGAGGAGCACGAAGGUUGGCUAAUCCUGGUCGGACAUCAGGAGGUUAGUGCAAUGGCAUAAGCCAGCUUGACUGCGAGCGUGACGGCGCGAGCAGGUGCGAAAGCAGGUCAUAGUGAUCCGGUGGUUCUGAAUGGAAGGGCCAUCGCUCAACGGAUAAAAGGUACUCCGGGGAUAACAGGCUGAUACCGCCCAAGAGUUCAUAUCGACGGCGGUGUUUGGCACCUCGAUGUCGGCUCAUCACAUCCUGGGGCUGAAGUAGGUCCCAAGGGUAUGGCUGUUCGCCAUUUAAAGUGGUACGCGAGCUGGGUUUAGAACGUCGUGAGACAGUUCGGUCCCUAUCUGCCGUGGGCGCUGGAGAACUGAGGGGGGCUGCUCCUAGUACGAGAGGACCGGAGUGGACGCAUCACUGGUGUUCGGGUUGUCAUGCCAAUGGCACUGCCCGGUAGCUAAAUGCGGAAGAGAUAAGUGCUGAAAGCAUCUAAGCACGAAACUUGCCCCGAGAUGAGUUCUCCCUGAGACUUUAGGUCUCCUGAAGGAACGUUGAAGACGACGACGUUGAUAGGCCGGGUGUGUAAGCGCAGCGAUGCGUUGAGCUAACCGGUACUAAUGAACCGUGAGGCUUAACCUU